Molecule: long non-coding RNA, 1801 nt
Filed under: Homo sapiens (human)
Lineage: Eukaryota; Metazoa; Chordata; Mammalia; Primates; Hominidae
Description: HSALNT0083794
Source: RNAcentral
GUCCAGGACAGGAAAGUGCGUGAUUUACAGCUAGAGGGAUAGGCGCUGUCCCGGAGCCCGUCCUGGGCCAGGGAGCAGGAGAGGGAGGGACUACAGUUCCCGACGCGCUGCGGGGCGGGCGGAGAUCGUGCGCUUCGGCGCCAGUUGCACGGCCUUAGCAGCCAGUGGCGGCUCCCCUGCUCCUGUAACAGUCCCCUUGUCUUCUGACCUUUCGCUCCUCGGUCAUGUGUCCUCGCCGGUCGCCGCGGCAGCCAGUGAUGCCCGAGCGGCGGGUUCCCAGGCCCAGGUGUGGGCGCCACCGCCCACCAUGCGCCAAGCCCAGAGCCUGGUUGAAUCGUUCGCCACCUUGUCUACCCAUUUUGGCCAUUAUCCUGCCACCUCCAAAUCCUGUUUUUGACACUUCUCGGGAGAGAGAGAAAACGGAAAGAUAAAGGAAUAAACUCCUCGUGGUCGUAGUUAGUGGGUAAAUUCAGAUCUCGUUUGAACCGAGGUUUUUCUUAUCUCCAGCCACCGUAUCCACCACCACCAGAAUCGUCUUUUUAGUCAUCACAGCUGGUCGCCGUCAGUACCUUGUUCAGAAGCCUCUCGCAGCUUCCAUCGUGUGGUUAUACAAUCCAAAUUCCUUAUAAAGUCCAAAUUCAAGAGGAGGAAUGCACGUUUAGUUAAGUUAAUGUCUAGACCUUACCAGCCAAUUUCUAGCUCCUCAGUAUGGAAAUUGCAACUGAAAACACCCCUUCCAAAAAAAGCAGUCUGCAUUUUUCUCUGAGUUUUCUUCUCCAAAUUUCGCACCCCUGACCUUGCUUACACACUCUGGAUACCACCUGCUGUGGAGUGGCGGAAGCAGACAUCCAGCGAUAGCUAAGUUUCCUGUCGUUGACACCCAAGCAAGACAGGCGUGUACCUAACUGAGGACCUGCCGGUGAUAGAAGUCUCAGCUUUUCUCAGAGACAGAUGAGUCUUCCCUUUAAAUGCUGCAAAGUGCUGCAUAGUAGAUGUUAAAUGAAAGUCAGAAAGAAUCAAAUGUGCUGCAAAUAAUUGAAGGCAAAGUCCCAAACCAGAAUGCAGUCCCCUGGCCAGUGACCCUAGAGAUGACGCUGGCUCCGGCGGUGGCUCCAGGUUCCUGAGAACACGGUUGCUGAUGUUACCACCUGGGACCUGGCGCAAAGCACUUCUCCUUGCUGCCGUCAUGUGAAGAAGGACGUGUUUGCUUCCCAUUCCACCAUGAUUGUAAGUUUCCUGAGGCCUCUCCAGUCCUGCGGAACUGUGAGUCAAUUAAACCUCUUUCUUUUAUAAAUUGACCAUCUCAGAUGUCUUCAUUAGCAGCGUGAGAAUGGGCUAAUACAAUCGCCCACCUCCCCAGUACCAGGCACUGUUCUAGGCACUUGACAUAAGUAAUGAACACAGUCGACUUGGCCCUGAGCCUUAGGACAGUUGCAAAACCUUGCUACUCACAGUGAGGUUCUUGGCCCAGCCACAGGGGCCUGUGGGGAAGCUUGUUAUCAGGGCCAACUCUCAGCAUCCCUGCUUCCAAGAUGCACAGUGUCAGAAUCGGUGCCGUUCCCAGAUGAUUCCUAUGCACAGGUGUGAGAAGCACUAGUCCAGAGAGUUUUACAAUUCCCCGUGAAAAAAAUCCAUGGGGAGAAAAGCUUCCACAUUUCUCAAAAUUUUCAUUUCUUUAUGUAAGAUGAAAGAAAGAUGUUCAGCUGCACAUUUUGAAAAUAUUUUGAAUGGAUAAAGAUGGUGAUAUACUAGGAGAUGAAAAAGAAGAAACCUGAAAAUGUUUAUUCACUUUUCAUUCCAG